GACGAACGCUGGCGGCGUGCUUAACACAUGCGAGUCGAACGGAAAGGCCCUGCUUGCAGGGUGCUCGAGUGGCGAACGGGUGAGUAACACGUGGGUGAUCUGCCCCUUACUUUGGGAUAAGCCUGGGAAACUGGGUCUAAUACUGGAUAGGACCAUGCUGUAGGUGGUGUGGUGGAAAGAUUAGUUUCGGUAAGGGAUGAGCUCGCGGCCUAUCAGCUUGUUGGUGGGGUAAUGGCCUACCAAGGCGGCGAUCCGUAGCUGGUCUGAGAGGAUGAUCAGCCACACUGGAACUGAGACACGGUCCAGACUCCUACGGGAGGCAGCAGUGGGGAAUAUUGGACAAUGGGCGCAAGCCUGAUCCAGCCAUACCGCGUGGGUGAAGAAGGCCUUCGGGUUGUAAAGCCCUUUUGUUGGGAAAGAAAAGCAGCAGGUUAAUACCCCGCUGUUCUGACGGUACCCAAAGAAUAAGCACCGGCUAACUUCGUG
Molecule: ribosomal RNA, 486 nt
Filed under: uncultured bacterium
Lineage: Bacteria
Description: partial 16S ribosomal RNA
Rfam family: Bacterial small subunit ribosomal RNA
Source: RNAcentral